UACGUAGGGAGCAAGCGUUGCCCGGAAUCAUUGGGCGUAAAGCGCGCGUAGGCGGCCUCGUAAGUCCGUUGUGAAAGUCAAAGGCUCAACCUUUGAAAGCCGAUGGAUACUGUGAGGCUAGAGUCCGGAAGAGGCGAGUGGAAUUCCUGGUGUAGCGGUGGAAUGCGCAGAUAUCAGGAGGAACACCAAUAGCGAAGGCAGCUCGCUGGGACGGUACUGACGCUAAGGCGCGAAAGCGUGGGGAGCGAACAGG
Molecule: ribosomal RNA, 253 nt
Filed under: uncultured bacterium
Lineage: Bacteria
Description: partial 16S ribosomal RNA
Rfam family: Bacterial small subunit ribosomal RNA
Source: RNAcentral